RNAcentral lists this ribosomal RNA (583 nucleotides) under Theileria ovis. Its description in RNAcentral is "SSU rRNA". It matches the Rfam family "Eukaryotic small subunit ribosomal RNA", at positions 525 to 1140 of the family's 1831-position model. Lineage: Eukaryota; Apicomplexa; Aconoidasida; Piroplasmida; Theileriidae. The record is from RNAcentral.
UUAAACCUCUUCCAGAGUAUCAAUUGGAGGGCAAGUCUGGUGCCAGCAGCCGCGGUAAUUCCAGCUCCAAUAGCGUAUAUUAAAAUUGUUGCAGUUAAAAAGCUCGUAGUUGAAUUUCUGCUGCAUUGCUUUUGCUCCUUUACGAGUCUUUGCAUUGUGGCUUAUUUCGGACUUUGUUUUACAAUGUCCGGAUGUUUACUUUGAGAAAAUUAGAGUGCUCAAAGCAGGCUUUCGCCUUGAAUAGUUUAGCAUGGAAUAAUAAAGUAGGACUUUGGUUCUAUUUUGUUGGUUUUAGGUACCAAAGUAAUGGUUAAUAGGAACAGUUGGGGGCAUUCGUAUUUAACUGUCAGAGGUGAAAUUCUUAGAUUUGUUAAAGACGAACUACUGCGAAAGCAUUUGCCAAGGAUGUUUUCAUUAAUCAAGAACGAAAGUUAGGGGAUCGAAGACGAUCAGAUACCGUCGUAGUCCUAACCAUAAACUAUGCCGACUAGAGAUUGGAGGUCGUCAGUUUUUACGACUCCUUCAGCACCUUGAGAGAAAUCAAAGUCUUUGGGUUCUCUCGGGAGUAUGGUCGCAAGGCUGA